Molecule: ribosomal RNA, 274 nt
Filed under: uncultured bacterium
Lineage: Bacteria
Description: partial 16S ribosomal RNA
Rfam family: Bacterial small subunit ribosomal RNA
Source: RNAcentral
AUACGGAGGGUGCGAGCGUUAAUCGGAAUUACUGGGCGUAAAGCGCGCGUAGGCGGUUUGAUAAGUCUGAUGUGAAAGCCCUGGGCUUAACCUGGGAAUGGCAUUGGAUACUGUUUGACUAGAGUGCAGGAGAGGAGAGUGGAAUUCUCGGUGUAGCGGUGAAAUGCGUAGAUAUCAGGAGGAACACCAGUGGCGAAGGCGGCUCUCUGGACUGACACUGACGCUGAGGUGCGAAAGCGCGGGUAGCAAACAGGAUUAGAAACCCCAGUAGUCC